This 460-nucleotide ribosomal RNA is filed under the name uncultured bacterium. Its description in RNAcentral is "partial 16S ribosomal RNA". It matches the Rfam family "Bacterial small subunit ribosomal RNA", at positions 338 to 795 of the family's 1533-position model. The record is from RNAcentral.
UCUACGGGUGGCAGCAGUGAGGAAUAUUGGUCAAUGGGCGCGAGCCUGAACCAGCCAAGUAGCGUGAAGGAUGACUGCCCUACGGGUUGUAAACUUCUUUUAUAAAGGAAUAAAGUGAGGCACGUGUGCCUUUUUGUCUGUCCUUUAUAAAUAAGGAUCGGCUAACUCCUUGCCAGCAGCCGCGGUAAUACGGAAGAUCCGAGCGUUAUCCUGAUUUAGUGGGUUUAAAGGGAGCGUAGAUGGGUUGUUAAGUCAGUUGUGAAAGUUUGCGUAUCAACCGUAAAAUUGCAAUUGAUACUGGCAGCCUGGAGUACAGUUGAGGUAGGCGGAAUGCGUGGUGUAGCGGUGAAAUGCUUAGAUAUCACGAAGAACUCCGAUUGCGAAGGCAGCCUACUAAACUGCCACUGACAUUGAUGCUCGAAAGUGUGGGUAUCAAACAGGAUUAGAUACCCCUGUAGUC